This is a long non-coding RNA of Silurus meridionalis, 582 nucleotides long. RefSeq lists it as uncharacterized. The record is from RefSeq and is a predicted model, not a curated record. The transcript has 2 exons. NCBI's taxonomy places the organism in Eukaryota, Metazoa, Chordata, Actinopteri, Siluriformes, Siluridae.
CACACCCUCGCUCUAACCCCGUCUGGCUCCCAGACACACUCUCUCUCUCUCUCUCUCUUGCUCUCUUUCACACUCAUACACAUGGUGUCUGUGAGGGUGCUGGACGCGUCCUCUCUGAAGAGUCACUGCCAACUUCAGGAUUCUUUCAGACUCUAAGUUUUCGGAUGGGAGAGUGGAAAAAGUGCAGAAAAGUAACAGUGUUUGCUGGUGUUUCUCUUUCUGGUCUUUAUCAUUGGGCUGGUCUCCUGUGCCUGCUGUGCUGAUAAUCAGUGUCUCUCUUCAGCUGGCUCAGUUCAGCAGGAACAGGGGCCUAGUCUUGCCAACAUAGCACCUCAGAGACACACAUCCACACAUCCAAACACACAGAUGCAGUCCAGAGAUGUACACUCUCGGAAAAGCCACACUUCUCACACCUGGAAUCCAGAGCAAGAUGGCUGCAUACAGUUUGUAAAAGUUUUGAAUGUUAUAAAUACAUAAUAAUAAGAAUGCAGCCUACCAACUAUGGGCUGGCGCCAGUGACUUGUCCUGUGACAUCAAUAAAACCGAGAUAUCAAUAAAAGCUAAAAAAGGCUCCAAGUCAAA